GUUGUCGUCAGCUCGUGUCGUGAGAUGUUGGGUUAAGUCCCGCAACGAGCGCAACCCUUAUGACUAGUUGCCAGCAUUUAGUUGGGCACUCUAGUAAGACUGCCGGUGACAAACCGGAGGAAGGUGGGGAUGACGUCAAAUCAUCAUGCCCCUUAUGACCUGGGCUACACACGUGCUACAAUGGAUGGUACAACGAGUUGCGAGACCGCGAGGUCAAGCUAAUCUCUUAAAGCCAUUCUCAGUUCGGACUGUAGGCUGCAACUCGCCUACACGAAGUCGGAAUCGCUAGUAAUCGCGGAUCAGCACGCCGCGGUGAAUACGUUCCCGGGUCUUGUACACAC
RNAcentral lists this ribosomal RNA (341 nucleotides) under uncultured Lactobacillus sp. RNAcentral describes it as "bacterial SSU rRNA". It matches the Rfam family "Bacterial small subunit ribosomal RNA", at positions 1048 to 1390 of the family's 1533-position model. The record is from RNAcentral. Lineage: Bacteria; Bacillati; Bacillota; Bacilli; Lactobacillales; Lactobacillaceae.